Molecule: ribosomal RNA, 506 nt
Filed under: Rhyothemis triangularis
Lineage: Eukaryota; Metazoa; Arthropoda; Insecta; Odonata; Libellulidae
Description: partial 16S ribosomal RNA
Rfam family: Bacterial large subunit ribosomal RNA
Source: RNAcentral
GUCCUUUAGAAUUUAAUUGAAGGUCUGACCUGCCCAGUGAUUAAUUUAACGGCCGCGGUAUACUGACCGUGCAAAGGUAGCAUAAUCAUUAGUCUUUUAAUAGAGGGCUGGAAUGAAAGGUUUGACGAGGAAUUGACUGUCUCAUUUUGUUUGUUUUAGAAUUUAAUUUUUUAGUCAAAAAGCUAAAAUAUAAUUGGAAGACGAGAAGACCCUAUAGAUCUUUAUAUAAUUUUAUUUAAUUAUUUUAAUAUUAGUAUAUUUAAAUUAUAAUUGUAUUUUGUUGGGGUGACAAAAAUAUAUAAUUAACUUUUUUAUUUAUUUACCAUUGAUGAAUGAAUAUUAGAUCCAUUUAUAGUGAUUAAUAGAUUAAGUUACCUUAGGGAUAACAGCGUAAUCCUCCUCCAGAGUUCAUAUUUACAGGAUGGGCUUGCGACCUCGAUGUUGGAUUAAGAUAAUAAUUAGGUGUAGCCGCUUAAUUUAUAGGUCUGUUCGACCUUUAAAUUCUU